UGAAGUGUGGACGCCAGUCUGCAUGGAGCCGGCCUUGAAAUACCACCCUUUAAUGUUUGAUGUUCUAACGUGGACCCGUGAUCCGGGUUGCGGACAGUGUCUGGUGGGUAGUUUGACUGGGGCGGUCUCCUCCUAAAGAGUAACGGAGGAGCACGAAGGUUGGCUAAUCCUGGUCGGACAUCAGGAGGUUAGUGCAAUGGCAUAAGCCAGCUUGACUGCGAGCGUGACGGCGCGAGCAGGUGCGAAAGCAGGUCAUAGUGAUCCGGUGGUUCUGAAUGGAAGGGCCAUCGCUCAACGGAUAAAAGGUACUCCGGGGAUAACAGGCUGAUACCGCCCAAGAGUUCAUAUCGACGGCGGUGUUUGGCACCUCGAUGUCGGCUCAUCACAUCCUGGGGCUGAAGUAGGUCCCAAGGGUAUGGCUGUUCGCCAUUUAAAGUGGUACGCGAGCUGGGUUUAGAACGUCGUGAGACAGUUCGGUCCCUAUCUGCCGUGGGCGCUGGAGAACUGAGGGGGGCUGCUCCUAGUACGAGAGGACCGGAGUGGACGCAUCACUGGUGUUCGGGUUGUCAUGCCAAUGGCACUGCCCGGUAGCUAAAUGCGGAAGAGAUAAGUGCUGAAAGCAUCUAAGCACGAAACUUGCCCCGAGAUGAGUUCUCCCUGAGACUUA
This 667-nucleotide ribosomal RNA is filed under the name Salmonella enterica subsp. enterica serovar Schwarzengrund. Its description in RNAcentral is "partial 23S ribosomal RNA". It matches the Rfam family "Bacterial large subunit ribosomal RNA", at positions 2158 to 2824 of the family's 2925-position model. The record is from RNAcentral. Lineage: Bacteria; Pseudomonadati; Pseudomonadota; Gammaproteobacteria; Enterobacterales; Enterobacteriaceae.